UGUAUUUCAUGUGAAACAUUAUCCUCAUAGCCAUCUUCUGAGCGAUGAACACGCGUUCAGCCUGGGUGCUCCCACCCCAGAAAAUGAUUCCAUAUGCCAUAAUCGAUUGAAAAUUUGCAAAAUAAACAAUCCUCAAGGUGUCUAUAUCUAUUCUAUUUCUAAUGGCUCUUAGUGUAUAUAUGAUCGUAUGCAGUCUCUUCGUCACUGAUUCACAAUGCAACCCCCAACCAAGAUUGCUCUCAAUAAAUACACCUAAUAAUUUAGUACAAGAUCUUACUUGAACUAUUCCAUUGUCAAAAGUGAUACUCUCCGGAAAUGUUAGAUUUGGGCGAUUAGUUGAAAACAUUAAAACAUUAGUUUUAUUCCCAUUGAGGACUAAACCAUUUUCGAUACACCAUUUUUCAAUUACUGUCAUUGAUGUUUUCAAAGUGUUCAUGACAUCUCCAAUAGUCUGGCCUGAUAUCAAAACAUUAGCGUCAUCAGCAUAUAAAUAUGUUUCUAUAUGUUCUUCUCUAGGUGAUAGAUGUUCAAUUGUUAAAUUAUGUUGUGGUGAAGUCUCAGUUGAAUAGGUAGUAGAUGGAGAAAGUAUAAGUUGAUCUUGAGGAACUAGAACUUUCUGGAAAAUUUCGGUUCUUUCAGAUGAUAGAAUUCGAGUUCCUUCGUGGUCCAAAAAAGUGAUUUGCUUCCUGUUGCUGAGUUUCUCCAGCAAAAUCUCGUGAUCGACAGAGUCGAAAGCUCUCGAAAAGUCCACGAAGAGCCCCGCAGGUACUCGACCUUCCUCAAGAAGAAAAGUUAUCUUUCGUAUGAAUUCAAACAAAGCGGUUUCAGUACUCU
Molecule: long non-coding RNA, 834 nt
Organism: Harmonia axyridis
Lineage: Eukaryota; Metazoa; Arthropoda; Insecta; Coleoptera; Coccinellidae
Exons: 3
Source: RefSeq, a predicted model, not a curated record